Molecule: non-coding RNA, 73 nt
Organism: Colletotrichum sp. SAR11_59
Lineage: Eukaryota; Fungi; Ascomycota; Sordariomycetes; Glomerellales; Glomerellaceae
Source: the annotation of a GenBank genome assembly
GGCCUGCCAGCUUAAUUAGUAGAGCUCCCCUCUAGCUAAGGGGAAGGUUUAGGUUUAAGUCCUAGGUAGGUUG